AACGUAGGACGCAAGCGUUAUCCGGAGUUACUGGGCGUAAAGCGCGGGCAGGCGGUCUGACAAGUCUGAUGUGAAAGCGCCCGGCUCAACCGGGCGAGGCCAUUGGAAACUACCAGACUGGAGUCGAGCAGAGGUAGGCGGAAUUCCGGGUGGAGUGGUGAAAUGCGUAGAGAUCCGGAGGAACACCAGAGGCGAAGGCGGCCUACUGGGCUCGCACUGACGCUGAGCCGCGAAAGCCAGGGGAGCGAACGGG
RNAcentral lists this unclassified non-coding RNA (253 nucleotides) under uncultured Anaerolineae bacterium. RNAcentral's name for it is "contains 16S-23S intergenic spacer region". It matches the Rfam family "Bacterial small subunit ribosomal RNA", at positions 524 to 776 of the family's 1533-position model. The record is from RNAcentral. Lineage: Bacteria; Bacillati; Chloroflexota; Anaerolineae.